Molecule: ribosomal RNA, 525 nt
Filed under: uncultured bacterium
Lineage: Bacteria
Description: bacterial SSU rRNA
Rfam family: Bacterial small subunit ribosomal RNA
Source: RNAcentral
AGAGUUUGAUCAUGGCUCAGAUUGAACGCUGGCGGCAGGCCUAACACAUGCAAGUCGAGCGGCAGCGGGAAAGUAGCUUGCUACUUUUGCCGGCGAGCGGCGGACGGGUGAGUAAUGCCUGGGGAUCUGCCCAGUCGAGGGGGAUAACAGUUGGAAACGACUGCUAAUACCGCAUACGCCCUACGGGGGAAAGGAGGGGACCUUCGGGCCUUUCGCGAUUGGAUGAACCCAGGUGGGAUUAGCUAGUUGGUGGGGUAAUGGCUCACCAAGGCGACGAUCCCUAGCUGGUCUGAGAGGAUGAUCAGCCACACUGGAACUGAGACACGGUCCAGACUUCUACGGGAGGCAGCAGUGGGGAAUAUUGCACAAUGGGGGAAACCCUGAUGCAGCCAUGCCGCGUGUGUGAAGAAGGCCUUCGGGUUGUAAAGCACUUUUAGCGAGGAGGAAAGGUUGGCGCCUAAUAUGUGUUAACUGUGACGUUACUCGCAGAAGAAGCACCGGCUAAUUUUGUGCCAGCAGCCGCGG